This 440-nucleotide ribosomal RNA is filed under the name uncultured bacterium. RNAcentral describes it as "partial 16S ribosomal RNA". It matches the Rfam family "Bacterial small subunit ribosomal RNA", at positions 339 to 795 of the family's 1533-position model. The record is from RNAcentral.
CUACGGGAUGCUCCAGUGAGGAAUAUUGCACAAUGGGGGGAACCCUGAUGCAGCAACGCCGCGUGGAGGAUGACGCAUUUCGGUGUGUAAACUCCUUUUAUAUGUCAAGAAAAUGACGGUAGCAUAUGAAUAAGCACCGGCUAACUCCGUGCCAGCAGCCGCGGUGAAUACGGAGGGUGCAAGCGUUACUCGGAAUCACUGGGCGUAAAGGACGCGUAGGCGGGUUGGAAAGUCAGGUGUGAAAUCCUACAGCUUAACUGUAGAACUGCACUUGAAACUUCUAAUCUAGAGUAUGGGAGGGGGAGAUGGAAUUAGUGGCGUAGGGGUAAAAUCCGUAGAUAUCACUAGGAAUACCUAAAGCGAAGGCGAUCUCCUGGAACAUUACUGACGCUAAGGCGUGAAAGCGUGGGGAGCAAACAGGAUUAGAUACCCUGGUAGUC